Molecule: ribosomal RNA, 907 nt
Filed under: uncultured bacterium
Lineage: Bacteria
Description: bacterial SSU rRNA
Rfam family: Bacterial small subunit ribosomal RNA
Source: RNAcentral
ACACAUGCAAGUCGAGCGGGGUGAUGUAACUUGCUACAUUACCUAGCGGCGGACGGGUGAGUAAUGCUUAGGAAUCUGCCUAUUAGUGGGGGACAACAUUCCGAAAGGAAUGCUAAUACCGCAUACGCCCUACGGGGGAAAGCAGGGGAUCUUCGGACCUUGCGCUAAUAGAUGAGCCUAAGUCAGAUUAGCUAGUUGGUGGGGUAAAGGCCUACCAAGGCGACGAUCUGUAGCGGGUCUGAGAGGAUGAUCCGCCACACUGGGACUGAGACACGGCCCAGACUCCUACGGGAGGCAGCAGUGGGGAAUAUUGGACAAUGGGCGAAAGCCUGAUCCAGCCAUGCCGCGUGUGUGAAGAAGGCCUUUUGGUUGUAAAGCACUUUAAGCGAGGAGGAGGCUACUUAGAUUAAUACUCUAGGAUAGUGGACGUUACUCGCAGAAUAAGCACCGGCUAACUCUGUGCCAGCAGCCGCGGUAAUACAGAGGGUGCGAGCGUUAAUCGGAUUUACUGGGCGUAAAGCGUGCGUAGGCGGCUUCUUAAGUCGGAUGUGAAAUCCCUGAGCUUAACUUAGGAAUUGCAUUCGAUACUGGGAAGCUAGAGUAUGGGAGAGGAUGGUAGAAUUCCAGGUGUAGCGGUGAAAUGCGUAGAGAUCUGGAGGAAUACCGAUGGCGAAAGCAGCCAUCUGGCCUAAUACUGACGCUGAGGUACGAAAGCAUGGGGAGCAAACAGGAUUAGAUACCCUGGUAGUCCAUGCCGUAAACGAUGUCUACUAGCCGUUGGGGCCUUUGAGCUUUAGUGCGCAGCUAACGCGAUAGUAGACCGCCUGGGGAGUACGGUCGCAGACUAAAACUCAAAUGAGUUGACGGGGGCCCGCANNAGCGGUGGAGCAUGNNGNUUAAUUCGAUG